UAUAUAUAUAUAUGUAUUUCUGUUUAUGAACCCUAGUCUAUGUAGGAAUUUCUUCCCUACCAGGCGUGCUAUGCUCAGCAGACGAUUUCUUUCCUUUCUUUUCAUGAUCGUCUCUCAAGUCCUCGCCAUGAGUCCCACCGAUUUUCGUAAACUCGCCGUGGCCGCUUUGAUAUAUUACAGCAAUAGGUCUGGUGUCAAAAUCCUUAACAAAAUGGUUUAUUUUGUCAGAACCUGGUACAGAAGCAACUAAUGGAUCUUGAACUAACAAGCCUCUGAUUGCUUCUGGUAUAGGCUGGUCUUUCAUUACGCUCUUCCAGUAAUCCUCCGGCAGCUUUCUUGCAUAGUUUAGGCUGAUAAAAGAUGAAAGACAGAAAAGAAGGAAGAAGAAAGUGAAUGCAGGCUUCAUGUUUGCUAUGAUCUUGGAAAUUUUUUG
RNAcentral lists this unclassified non-coding RNA (433 nucleotides) under Hevea brasiliensis (rubber tree). Lineage: Eukaryota; Viridiplantae; Streptophyta; Magnoliopsida; Malpighiales; Euphorbiaceae. The record is from RNAcentral.